UACAAGUGGACAAAUAAAUAAUAAAAAAUUAUAUACAUGUUAAAAAUAAUUUUUAAAUAAUAUUAAAAUCAUUUAAAUUGAAAAAAAAAAAAUCUCAUCUCUCUUCUCCAACCCAGCUAACCACCCCAACGACCUUGCCCAACCCUUCCCUGCCCCAACUUCGUCUCUACCCCACCCCACACCACCACACACCCCCCCACCCCCCCUCUCUCUCCGUUGCAGCCAUCAUCUUGCCUAAUUGCUUAUAAUCCCUCUGUUUCGUUAUUGUGCAAACGAAAUUUCGUGAAUCUAGCACUGAGAACCUCUUUGUUUCUUCCAAAAAGAUAAAACCCCAAAUUCAGCUCCGUCGAAUUCCACUACCCAAAUCCAAAAUGAAGCAUUUGAAUGAGUAUACAAAACACAUCACAGAGUGCAAAUGACUGGAUUUCAUCACAAUUUUAUAGAAAAACCAUUUGUUUUGUUUCAUUCAACCAGAACAUACACUCAAAUCUACUUUCUCAGCAUCCAAACAAAGCCAGAAAGCAAGAAAAGAAGGGCAACCCAUUAAAGCCCAUUACUUUCUGGGCGAGUUUUGCAAAACUUUGAGAUAUGGGUUUUUUGAGAGAAUCCAUGGUUUCUCAGAAGCCCCAAAACGAAGUCUGCGUUUUUUGAGAACUGCAACUUGAUCCCUUUGGAAGUUGAAAUCACAUCUUCUGGUGACAACCAUGGUUGAGGUCGACGACGAUCAAUUCGGAAAAUUGAAAACCCCCAACCCAAGCGACGAUCAAUCCUUAAUUGGGAGGUCGAGGAAUGAAGAUGGCGAUCAUAAGGUCUCCGAGGGAAGCAAGAGGAAGAGGCAGUUGAUAAGGAUAGAGAUCUUGCCCUUGGUUCUAUCCAAAAACAACGAGGUCAGUGGCGAUGACUUUAACGGCGGUGUGCACGGAGAGAGGGUGGGUCGGUGUGGGUGUGGGAAAAGGCAG
This 959-nucleotide long non-coding RNA is filed under the name Prunus dulcis (almond). RNAcentral's name for it is "sRNA ncRNA". Lineage: Eukaryota; Viridiplantae; Streptophyta; Magnoliopsida; Rosales; Rosaceae. The record is from RNAcentral.